CCUACGGGAGGCAGCAGUGGGGAAUAUUGGGCAAUGGAGGCAACUCUGACCCAGCAAUGCCGCGUGAGUGAUGAAGGUAAUUUUAUUGUAAAGCUCUUUUCUUUGGAACGAAUAAAUGACGGUACCAAAGGAAUAAGCCCCGGCUAACUACGUGCCAGCAGCCGCGGUUAUACGUAGGGGGCAAGUGAUGCUCGGAAUGACUGGGCGUAAAGGGUGUGUAGGAGGUUUGAUAAAUUAGAUGGGGAAUACCCAGGGCUUAACUCAGGUGCUGCAUCGAAAACUGUUAGACUUGAGUACUGGAGAGGAUAGUGGAAUGCCUAGUGUAGCGGUGGAAUGCGUAGAUAGUAGGAGGAACAUCAGUGGCGAAGGCGACUAACUGGACAGCAACUGACACUGAGGCACGAAAGCGUGGGGAGCAAACAGGAUUAGAUACCCUGGUAGUC
RNAcentral lists this ribosomal RNA (443 nucleotides) under uncultured bacterium. Its description in RNAcentral is "partial 16S ribosomal RNA". It matches the Rfam family "Bacterial small subunit ribosomal RNA", at positions 338 to 795 of the family's 1533-position model. The record is from RNAcentral.